This 957-nucleotide long non-coding RNA is filed under the name Volvox carteri. RNAcentral describes it as "long non-coding RNA (VCAR_LNC003501)". Lineage: Eukaryota; Viridiplantae; Chlorophyta; Chlorophyceae; Chlamydomonadales; Volvocaceae. The record is from RNAcentral.
UUGAAUGUUGUAUGCGUGCUAAGUAGUGUCGGUUCAAAGAACCUCGUUGGAGUUUAAGGCACGUUGCAUCCUUUAUUUUAGGUGCAAGUAGGUGCGAAAAAACCGACAUGCUGCUUCGGUACGUGUACUUGUUUAUGAUGUCAUGUAUGUAUCUAAAUCAAAAUUCUGCUACUAUACAUAUACGUAUGUAAUAAUACAUAUAAACGUCUUACACUCUCGCCACGACAAAACGUGCUACAUAAAUACAAACAACGUGCUACAUACGUUUACAUACGUACGUAUGUACAUUAUAGCACGUUAUUGUAGCGAGAGUUUUAGGGGCAUAUAUAGAAGAAUGUAGUAAUAAGAUGUAAGGUGUUUUUGGGUGGGGGGUGAAGAGGAGGUAGAGACGGGGUAAAGGGCCCAUCCCAGCUCAUGAUCUUAUGCAUAUGUCUGGAUGGCGGUGGAUGCCGGUGGAUGCCGGUGGUGGGUGCGGAACAUGAGCGAUCCACUGAGAAGUUGACUGGGGUGACUGGAUGAGGGUGCCCCGAAAUACCGGGGAAGGCAGGGUUUCGCAGGGUAGCUGCCACGGGCGAAGAUACACCCCCACUGUUUCACACAUCAUACAUCUGUGUGUAUAUUUAAUAACCACACUGAAUAACCACGCAACCAAGGUGUAGCACACACAUACACACACAUACACACACAUACACACACAUACACACACAUGCACGCACAUGCACACAUAUACACACACAUACACACACAUACACACACAUACACACACAUACACACAUACACACACAUACACACACAUACACACACAUGCACACACAUGCACACACAUGCACACACAUGCACACACACAAUCAACAUACAGAUAGAGUAAAGCAAGGAGAAGUGGGCAAUGCAACUGCUGAGUGUCGUACAGAUAACAUAAUCGAGAAAUAAAUUCCUGCUUUCCAUCAGCACAUCUUA